This is a long non-coding RNA of Sipha flava (yellow sugarcane aphid), 306 nucleotides long. RefSeq lists it as uncharacterized. Lineage: Eukaryota; Metazoa; Arthropoda; Insecta; Hemiptera; Aphididae. The transcript has 3 exons. The record is from RefSeq and is a predicted model, not a curated record.
UUAGAGUAAACAGCCGAAAUCUAGAAGCCGAUCCAGAGUAAAACAAACUUACGAGUGACAAUCACUUAUCUACUUACUCCCAGGAAUAACGAUCACUGUGCGGCGACUUUGUGAUAUAAAUCACAGGUGUGUGUCGAGAUCGCUAUGUAUAUCAUCGGAUAUUACACGAGCACGGAUUAAUACAACCGUCGUGACUGUAUCUCUCGACAGGCGACACGGCGCACUCAAGUCCGAUGGUGGCGGUGUAACAGGCAAAUCAUACCCCCGGAAAAUAUUACCGAUGGGGAAGUACAUACCAUUGUCUUU